AUGGUGAACUGGGUAGAGGUGCUAAGGAAGCACUUCGUAGCCCGUCUGGCAACGAACGCUGGCCUCCGGCAGCAUGCCGUGGCCGUGGACGAGGAGGACGGCACCGUCAUCAACUUCUGGCUGCCCAACCACAACAAGGCAUCGCACAUGAAUCACUGUCAGCACCACCCCUUGGUGCUCGUUCAUGGCUUCGCCGGCGACGGCAUGAUGACAUGGGGGUUCCAGGUGGGCGCCCUUGCCAAGUGCGGCCACGACGUCUAUGUCCCCGACCUGGUCCACUUCGGUGGCUCCACGUCGCGGUCGCCAGACCGCUCCGUGGCGUUCCAGGCGCGAUGCCUCACGGCGGCGCUGCGGAAUCUCGGCGUGGCGGGGCCCUGCACUGUUGUCGGGUUCAGCUACGGCGGAUUCGUGGCUUUCGAGAUGGCCGCGGCGUGCCCAGGCCUCGUCCGCUCCGUUGUCGUCUCCGGCUGCACCGUCACCUACACGGACGCCAUGAAGGACGCCUUGCUGGGGAGGCACGCCGGCGCCCGGUCGAUCACGGAGCUCAUGCUGCCGGAGACGGUGGAACAGCUCAGGUUGCUGUUCUCCUCCGCCAUGCACAUGAAGAUGUGGUUUCCCCGUCGCCUUGUCAAGGACUUCCUCAAGGUGAUGUGUAACAACCGAAAGGAGAGAGCCGAGAUGCUGGACGAUAUGGUGAACAUGAGGGGCAAAGAGGCAUCGGCGCCUGUUUUUCAGCAGAAUAUACUCUUGUUGUGGGGCGAGAAUGACAACUUCUUCCCCGUAAGGAUGGGGAGAGUUUGA
This 801-nucleotide ribosomal RNA is filed under the name Triticum aestivum (bread wheat). RNAcentral's name for it is "partial small subunit ribosomal RNA". The record is from RNAcentral. Lineage: Eukaryota; Viridiplantae; Streptophyta; Magnoliopsida; Poales; Poaceae.